This is a non-coding RNA of Linepithema humile (Argentine ant), 886 nucleotides long. The record is from RefSeq and is a predicted model, not a curated record. NCBI's taxonomy places the organism in Eukaryota, Metazoa, Arthropoda, Insecta, Hymenoptera, Formicidae.
UCAUGUCUCAAAUCUGAUCACUAGUCGUGAGCAACAGUAUUAUGAAAUUUUAAGAAUUAUUAUUUCAUACACAAGAAUCGUAAAAAUAAUAUUAUAUAAUUUCAAGAAUCGUGUCGUGUUACAUUUGUGAUACUAUAUUUAUCAAUUGGUGUGUAUCUUGUCACGGAACGAUGAUGUGUGACAACAUACAAAGUGCAAAAAAGUAUGCUGUUGUGAAAUUUAAAUUAGAUUCCACAUAUUCUGAAAUUCCGGCAAUCUGGUUGGUGGAAAAUGGCGACGGACAAUGGUGUUUAUGGCCACCUCGAACAGCAAAUAACGCAACAUUGAUAUUGGACUGUGCAACUCCAAAUUAUAAUACUUGGGGCCAAUAUAAAGUCGAGAUCAUUAAAUUUUGUUAUAUUGCCAAACGUCUGCUACAAAUUUUUGUGAGCAGAAAGACUGCAGAUUGUAUACAAAACCUGUUUCAUCAGAUGAUGAUAGCAGAAUGUCAGCAGAAAUGUAACAAAAUCUGCUGACAUAAUUUGACAGCAGAUCAGUAACAGAAACCGAGCAGGAUUUGUUCGGAAUUAUUACAGCAGAUUGGCGGCAGAAACCGAGCAGGACCUGCGCAACGCAGUUUCAUCCCUAGUAGCAAUCUGCAGCAAGACUAUUGCAAAUCUUGCAGCAGAUUCUUGCCAGAUUCUGCCAGCAGACAGAUAGGGUCUGUUUCCUCAUUCUGCUCAUGAUCUUUCGGGAGAUUCUGGAGGCACCUUCUUGCAAGAAACUUGCACGAAUCUGUCGCAAAUCUUGCAGCAGUCUUUCAUCAGAAUUAUACUUUAUCGUAAGAUACUUGCAGCGGAUUUUCAGCAGACUGGUACAAGAUUCUGAAGGCAGAUUCUUGCAAGAA